RNAcentral lists this ribosomal RNA (301 nucleotides) under uncultured bacterium. RNAcentral describes it as "partial 16S ribosomal RNA". It matches the Rfam family "Bacterial small subunit ribosomal RNA", at positions 509 to 807 of the family's 1533-position model. The record is from RNAcentral.
CAGCCGCCGCGGUAAAACGUAGGGUGCAAGCGUUAAUCGGAAUUACUGGGCGUAAAGCGUGCGCAGGCGGUUAUAUAAGUCAGAUGUGAAAUCCCCGGGCUCAACCUGGGAACUGCAUUUGUGACUGGCAGGCUAGAGUAUGGCAGAGGGGGGUGGAAUUCCGCGUGUAGCAGUGAAAUGCGUAGAUAUGCGGAGGAACACCGAUGGCGAAGGCAGCCCCCUGGGCCAAUACUGACGCUCAUGCACGAAAGCGUGAGGAGCAAACAGGAUUAGAUACCCCCGUAGUCCCUGUCUCUUAUAC